CGCCGUGUACUUCUGGCGAGCAUCUGUUGCUUGCUACGGCAAGCUGUUGGCGCGAUUUCACAGUCCUUCUUCAAGAAUUCGCUACACGGCUAUAUGCAGCUGGCCCCUGCCGGCCUCCAUUAGUAAUGGCGGAGUGAUAUUUUGUUGUCGAUUUUUUUUUUUUAUCGCCCGAGAAGUGUAAACAAGGCUCUAGAACAUGUCAGCUUGCGAAACGGCCAUACAUGCCCCCUGCGCACACGCAUCAUCUGCCAGGGACUGGGAUCAAUGCGCUAUAAAUCGCAGAGUUACGAUCGUCGUCAGCGUGCAGCCCGUACAGAGGGAGGAUGGCAGCUUAUAUUGCCUUGUGUGAAUGUGAGCGUCGAGCCGUGGAAGAGGUCAAGGUGGCCGCAGUUACAGGGGAAACAGAAGGGGCCUUUUCCCCGCGAUCGAUGGUUCAGGCUUCAUGGAGGUCAACCAGGAGGCAGGACGAGGAGGUCCCGAGGUGAGGAGGUGAAUCCGAUUGCAGGGCUGCUCUGUGACACAAGCAACUCCAGCAAGUUUGAGCUUAAGCUUAAUUGUUAAAAUAGCAAGAACAUCAGACUUUGCUGAAGAUGGGAUGAGAUUUAACCAGCAAGCCACCACGAAUCACGAUAGUACUUUCCUUUCCACGAAAAUUGGGGCAGCCGGCGAAAGUGACACCGACAUGUAAAGAUGAUGACUUAUAAACAGGUUCAUACCCCUGGGGAGAUAAUUAGCUCCUUUCAGCAAACUCUUAAUAAGAAUUAAUGAGGGAAUUUACAUCAGGCCCCAUGGACAGGAGGCUGCAACAGAAGAUCAUCACAGGACACUGUCCUUCUUCCCAACCAUGGGCACAAUGUCCUAGGAGGAAAAAAAAAGCAAUCAAGGUCAGAAGUGAUACAGUCAUCCAUCCAUCCAUCCAUUUUCCAAACCGCUUAUCCUACUAGGUCGCGGGGGGUCCGGAGCCUAUCCCAGAAGCAAUGGGCACGAGGCAGGGAACAACCCAGGAUGGGGGGCCAGCCCAUCGCAGGGCACACUCACACACCAUUCACUCACACAUUCACUCCUACGGGCAAUUUGGCAACUCCAAUUAGCCUCAGGAUUUUUUUGGACUGAGGAGGGAAACCGGAGUACCCGGAGGAUCCCCACGACGACAUGGGGAGAACAUGCAAACUCCACACACAUGUGACUCGGGCGGAGACUCGAACCUGGGUCCCAGGCAACAGUGCUAACCACUGCACCACCAUGCCACCCCGUGACACAGUCAUUCACAACAAAAAAAGCGUUAAUGUAAAUGAGGCAAGAAAAAGUAACAUGUACUCACGCUGUACUGUAAGCAUGAUCUGACCCGAUAAGGAGCCUCCCUGACAGCCUCUGGCCUGCGAUGGUUUUACAUUGAUAUUUCAGAAAGCUUUUGAGUGAGUUAUGAUGCGCUGAACACAAUCCCACUACAACCUUUCUUUUUGUUGCCAGUGGAUCUUGUCGCUUUUAAUCUGCCUCCAGAAAUAUCAGAUUUCCUCCCCACACAUGGUGCCGUGUGAUAGCAGCGAAGGCUAAUCCCGCAUAUCCUGUACUGCCACGACUGACGCCGUAUGAGGAAGGUCCCACCUGGGGGAGGGCUGCCGUAAUGCCUUUCUUGCUGUUUUAAAGCUUCCUCGCUAUCUGCCUAUAAGAAGAAGACAAGCACGGUUCGACAAAGAGGAUGAUUUCACUGUGUGACUGGUCACAUGGUAAAUGUAGUGUGGCGUGCAUCUCUGUAGCACUUGGGGCAAAGCAAAAAUAAAAAGGAAAAGUGCAACAGUGGGAUAAAAUCCUAGUCCUAGACAUGGUGCACUGGAUUCAGUGACUGAUCAACUAAUUAUAAACUAGGCAGGUAGGCCGUCUCAAAAACCCGCAGCCACACCAACCCUCCAGGCAUCAGUCCCAGCCCCUGUCGUUAACCAUAAUGCAGGGCUCUUCAAAUCUGGAACUUGAUUCCAAAUGCAGGCCUUGUUUUCAAUUCUCUCAGGUAGGUAGAUUCCGAUCACUGAUUCCGAUUGGCCGUAGAGGCUUCACACCGGUCAGUGCUCGGACCUUGAGGACCGUGAGUUGAGGCCAUAAUGGGUUCUAGGUUCUCAGACGCUGAGGAGCUGAGCUGAACUCAUAAGAAUCUGCGCUGUGGUCCUUAUUAUAAAAGUUAAUACCAAAAAAACCCAAAAAAACAAACAGCAUUCAGUGUGUUACAUGGUGGAGCAAAUUACAUGAAUUCAUAUCUUACAUUUUUUUAAUUAAAAGUUAACCAAGUAAAGAGUGUAAGCUACUUUACCUGAAAUGAAAAAAAAAACAAAAGUAUAAACCCUUGAAAAAAAUUAAAUUAGAUUGGCUCAAUAUAAUGUUAUGACGGAUUAUUCCGUCUUCUUGAAGCAUUUAUAUUUAAUUGCUGUUGAGAGUCUUGCGUGAUUGCUUUAUGAAUCUCCUUAGGUUUUUCUAAGCCAUUACAGUAACAGAAUUAUUAACUGUCUGAAAUUUUAAGCAAAUAUUGGUGUGGAGAAUUUAGAAAAACACAAACACAAUUUUUCUAUGAUCCACACUAUGCCAUUACUUAGUCAUGUAAAAGCUUUACACAGCAUCUCUACUCCAUCUCCUACCAAUCACUCUCUGUUUAUAAAGUAAACAUAACAUUUAUACAUUUCCUGAUAUGGCAACUGGUAAUAAUUUAAAAGGGUGAGGCGCACAGUGGACGAUUGGCAAUAUGGAGAAAAAAGUUGUUGUUUUUUUAUUCUAGUCGGUCAGCUACUUAUAUGUAAAUUCUGCUGUCCUUUAUCAAAAGUCUUCUUCAGAAUGGAAUGAACGGCUUUGGCUGAGGUGUCUGUCAUGUUGAUUCAAAUCCUGCAGCUCAGUUUGAACAUACACACGGCUUAGUUUGCAAGCUAACUCCCACACUAGUCUGCUAAGAAAAUCACCGAGUUUGAAAAUUAAAAGAUCCGACUCAAAACUCUAUGAUAAUGACUUUAUUUGCAAUAUUUACAAAUGCCAAGGGGCGAAAGAUGACAUAUGAAACGAUAAGCCAGCACUCUGGGUUUCAAUGAAAUGCUUCCGCGCACCUGCAUGAAACGGAAUGAAUGAACGUGGCCAGCGAACAGCGCCGACGCCAUGUGAAUGAAUAGCGGCGGGCGGAUCGAUACAAAAUAUCCAUAUUUCACUCUUGUUGCACACUUUCAAAGUAUCGAUAUCAAUGUCAAUUGUAUAGAACAAAUAUAGAAAAAUAA
Brienomyrus brachyistius is the source of this 3245-nucleotide long non-coding RNA. RefSeq lists it as uncharacterized. Lineage: Eukaryota; Metazoa; Chordata; Actinopteri; Osteoglossiformes; Mormyridae. The record is from RefSeq and is a predicted model, not a curated record. The transcript has 4 exons.